Molecule: long non-coding RNA, 429 nt
Organism: Bubalus bubalis (water buffalo)
Lineage: Eukaryota; Metazoa; Chordata; Mammalia; Artiodactyla; Bovidae
Exons: 2
Source: RefSeq, a predicted model, not a curated record
CUGGACUGUGGACAAAGGCCACCCUGAGUGCCACACUCCUGAGAGCAUGGCCCUGGGAGCUAGACAGCCCUAGGCCUAACGCUGUCACCUCUGCCUACUGUGGAACACUAUGGCCCAGUAGCCAAGCCCCUCGGAGCUCAUCUUCGGGGUUGUAAGAUGUCCUCGAGGGACCAACUCAGAAUUCAACAAGGACUCUCUCUUUGGGAGCUGGAAUCACCUGUGCUAUAUCUCAAGAGGAAGCCAAGACUCUGCAUUCACGGCCUUUCUGCGUCUCCGCCCCUCCCCGGUCCCCCUCUCUGGUCAGGCACCCAGGGCAGCCCUCUUUUCUGAUCCCUGCUCCUCUUGCCCACCCUGUCCACAGCUGAAAGUUUCAGGCUGAAGAACGGACAAGUCACCUAUGGAUAGCCCCGCCCGAGCCCCACCAUUCCA